Molecule: ribosomal RNA, 682 nt
Filed under: Mucor circinelloides
Lineage: Eukaryota; Fungi; Mucoromycota; Mucoromycetes; Mucorales; Mucoraceae
Description: partial large subunit ribosomal RNA
Rfam family: Eukaryotic large subunit ribosomal RNA
Source: RNAcentral
CUAGGUUAACGGGCGAGUGAGAGGAAGAGCUCAAAGUUGGAAACUGUUUGGCUUAGCUAAACCGUAUUGUAAACUGUAGAAACAUUUUCCUGGCACGCCGGAUUAAUAAGUCCUUUGGAACAAGGCAUCAUGGAGGGUGAGAAUCCCGUCUUUGAUCCGAGUAGUUGUCUUUUGUGAUAUGUUUUCAAAGAGUCAGGUUGUUUGGGAAUGCAGCCUAAAUUGGGUGGUAAAUCUCACCUAAAGCUAAAUAUUUGCGAGAGACCGAUAGCGAACAAGUACCGUGAGGGAAAGAUGAAAAGAACUUUGAAAAGAGAGUUAAACAGUAUGUGAAAUUGUUAAAAGGGAACCGUUUGGAGCCAGACUGGUUUGACUGUAAUCAACCUAGAAUUCGUUCUGGGUGCACUUGCAGUCUAUACCUGCCAACAACAGUUUGAUUUGGAGGAAAAAAUUAGUAGGAAUGUAGCCUCUCGAGGUGUUAUAGCCURCUAUCAUACUCUGGAUUGGACUGAGGAACGCAGCGAAUGCCWUUAGGCGAGAUUGCUGGGUGCUUUCGCUAAUAAAUGUUAGAAUUUCUGCUUCGGGUGGUGCUAAUGUUUAAAGGAGGAACACAUCUAGUAUAUUUUUUAUUCGCUUAGGUUGUUGGCUUAAUGACUCUAAAUGACCCGUCUUGAAACACGGACCA